CGCGUAGGUGGUAGUGCAAGUCUGAUGUGGAAUCUUAGGGCUUAACCCUAAAAUUGCAUUGGAAACUGUAUUACUUGAGUCAGUGAGGGGAGGGUAGAAUUCCUGGUGUAGCGGUGAAAUGCGUAGAUAUCAGGAGGAAGGCCUGUGGCGAAGGCGGCCCUCUGGCGCUGAACUGACACUGAGGCGCGAAAGCGUGGGUAGCAAACAGGAUUAGAUACCCUGGUAGUCCACGCCCUAAACGGUGGAUACUAGGUGUAGGGCUCGUAAGGGUUCUGUGCCGAAGCGAAAGCAUUAAGUAUCCCGCCUGGGGAGUACGGCCGCAAGGUUGAA
Molecule: ribosomal RNA, 330 nt
Filed under: uncultured bacterium
Lineage: Bacteria
Description: bacterial SSU rRNA
Rfam family: Bacterial small subunit ribosomal RNA
Source: RNAcentral